CUAGGGUUAGCCAUUUAGGCAUGGUAGCGGUGCUUAAAUAGGAAAAGGGGCUAGGUUCAGGGAUUAUUGUACCAAUUUUGAUCGUACGAUCGCAAUCGGAUGGACGGAUCGGAGGGCAUGGUUCAGUGGGUUGUGGGCUGUGUAGAGUGACCAUGGGCUGAGAGAAGAGAGAGAAAUAAACAGCCCAUGACAGAUUUUUUAAAUACCAAAAUGUGUGCGAUU
Molecule: long non-coding RNA, 222 nt
Filed under: Hordeum vulgare
Lineage: Eukaryota; Viridiplantae; Streptophyta; Magnoliopsida; Poales; Poaceae
Description: long non-coding RNA (HVUL_LNC004208)
Source: RNAcentral